UACGGAGGGUGCAAGCGUUAAUCGGAAUUACUGGGCGUAAAGCGCACGUAGGUGGUUUGUUAAGCUAGCCGUGAAAUCCCCGGGCUCAACCUGGGCACUGCGGUUAGAACUGGCAAGCUAGAGUAGGGUAGAGGGGUGUGGAAUUCCAGGUGUAGCGGUGAAAUGCGUAGAUAUCUGGAGGAACAUCAGUGGCGAAGGCGACACCCUGGACUCAUACUGACACUGAGGUGCGAAAGCGUGGGGAGCAAACAGGAUUAGAAACCCCCGUAGUCC
RNAcentral lists this ribosomal RNA (273 nucleotides) under uncultured bacterium. RNAcentral describes it as "partial 16S ribosomal RNA". It matches the Rfam family "Bacterial small subunit ribosomal RNA", at positions 524 to 796 of the family's 1533-position model. The record is from RNAcentral.